CCUACGGGUGGCAGCAGUGAGGAAUAUUGGUCAAUGGACGAGAGUCUGAACCAGCCAAGUAGCGUGAAGGAUGACUGCCCUAUGGGUUGUAAACUUCGUUUAUAGGGGAAUAAAAUGUUCCACGUGUGGGAUUUUGUAUGUACCAUAUGAAUAAGGAUCGGCUAACUCCGUGCCAGCAGCCGCGGUAAUACGGAGGAUCCGAGCGUUAUCCGGAGUGAUUGGGGUUAAAGGGAGCGUAGGGGGUUUGUUAAGUCAGUGGUGACAGUUUGCGGCUCAUCCGUAAAAUUGCAGUUGAAACUGGCAGUCUUGAGUACAGUAGAGGUGGGCGGAUUUCGUUGUGUAGCGGU
Molecule: ribosomal RNA, 347 nt
Filed under: uncultured bacterium
Lineage: Bacteria
Description: partial 16S ribosomal RNA
Rfam family: Bacterial small subunit ribosomal RNA
Source: RNAcentral